UGUAUAGGAGAGGAUCACUUGAAAUCUCUUAUUUCAAUUCGUUAACAGUUCAUUGUAAAGAGAUAUAUGUAUGUAUGAUGCACUCUUUAAUGGCAGCAACAUUGUAUCUUUUUAAUAAGGCUACAAAGUUUAUCUUUCCACAAGUAUAGCAACAACAAUUUUCACUCCAUAAUAUAGUAGCAACGUUGUCCAAUUUAAGCUCAAUCCAAGUUCAAUCAUAGUGAUCCUUCUAUUUAGUUGAGGAUUCUAACAUCGAUUUUUCCGAAUCCAGCAAGUAGAGAUUAGUUCAUGGUGAAGUAAGGUACAUAUACUCAGUUUGGUGAUCCUUCAGCCUAAGACUUCUGCUCAGCUAUUUGGAGAGCUCCAUUGUUUCGGAGCCUGAGUCAUUUUGGUACAGAUCCUCUGAUAUAGAUUUAUGCAUAUCCAGGGGUAUCCCGCCAUUUUUCACUAUUAUACUUUUAGAGGUUUGUAGACAUGUGUGGGUUGUAUAUAAUUUGGUCAGUUAUAUCGAUAUUGCUCAUUUUGGAUAUCCCUGUAUAUAAUGGCAGCCUUGUCGGCUUGCAUAUUUUGUUAUGUUUUGGUUAGCUAUGACUCCUUAGGAGACAGGUUCAUUAUGAUAUAUGACAUUAUGAGUCUA
Nicotiana tabacum (common tobacco) is the source of this 637-nucleotide non-coding RNA. NCBI's taxonomy places the organism in Eukaryota, Viridiplantae, Streptophyta, Magnoliopsida, Solanales, Solanaceae. The record is from RefSeq and is a predicted model, not a curated record.